UUGACAGCACUGGAAACUGAAGUCCUACUUGUCCACAGAACAGGUACAGCAUACCCAAUAGCAGUUAAAAGUUUCCCCUGCACACUCUGUUGUUGUAUUUCAAUCCUGAUUUUGAGGGAUGACUUCUGGGGAGGGGGGAGAAUAGUUCAGGACUUGUAAAAUUUAUCCAAAA
RNAcentral lists this small RNA (172 nucleotides) under Chrysemys picta bellii (western painted turtle). RNAcentral describes it as "TUC338 (ENSCPBG00000021190.1)". The record is from RNAcentral. Lineage: Eukaryota; Metazoa; Chordata; Testudines; Emydidae.